Molecule: RNase P RNA, 392 nt
Filed under: Gemmatimonadota bacterium
Lineage: Bacteria; Pseudomonadati; Gemmatimonadota
Description: Gemmatimonadetes bacterium (marine metagenome) RNase P RNA component class A
Rfam family: Bacterial RNase P class A
About the family: Ribonuclease P (RNase P) is a ubiquitous endoribonuclease, found in archaea, bacteria and eukarya as well as chloroplasts and mitochondria.
Source: RNAcentral
GGAGUGGGUCGGGCGAUCGCGCCGCCGGGACUUCCGGCGGUGAGGAAAGUCCGAGCUCCGCAGGACGGGAUGCUGGGUAACACCCAGGAGGGGCGACCCUACAGAGAGUGCCACAGAAAACAUACCGCUAACCGCUCGCUGCUAAGGCCGCGGGGGGCAGUAAGGGUGAAAAGGUGAGGUAAGAGCUCACCGCGUCUGCGGCGACGCAGAUGGCAGGGAAAACCUCAUCCGGAGCAAGGCCAAAUAGGGGAAGAGAGGUGGUCCGCCUCACUAUGAUUCCCGGGUAGGCCGCACCGAGGCAGACGGGUAACCGCUGCCCCAGAUGAAUGAUCGCCCCGCGCAGCGGUGCGCCGCUGCGCGGACAGAACUCGGCUUACAGACCCACUCCGACU